Molecule: ribosomal RNA, 486 nt
Filed under: uncultured bacterium
Lineage: Bacteria
Description: partial 16S ribosomal RNA
Rfam family: Bacterial small subunit ribosomal RNA
Source: RNAcentral
GAUGAACGCUGGCGGCGUGCCUAAUACAUGCAAGUCGAACGCUGGAGAUCUAGCUUGCUAGAUCGAAGGAGUGGCGAACGGGUGAGUAAUACAUAAGCAACCUACCCACGAAGACUGGGAUAAUCUCUGGAAACGGGGACUAAUACCGGAUAGGUAAUCGGAAGGCAUCUUCUGGUUAUUAAAGGUUAAAAACACUGGUGGAUGGGCUUAUGGCGCAUUAGUUAGUUGGUGAGGUAACGGCCCACCAAGACGAUGAUGCGUAGCCGGCCUGAGAGGGUGAACGGCCACAUUGGGGCUGAGACACGGCCCAGACUCCUACGGGAGGCAGCAGUAGGGAAUUUUCGGCAAUGGGGGCAACCCUGACCGAGCAACGCCGCGUGAGUGAAGACGGCCUUCGGGUUGUAAAGCUCUGUUGUAAGGGAAGAACGGUAGAUAGAGAAUAUCUAAGUGACGGUACCUUACCAGAAAGCCACGGCUAACUACGUG